UGCCAGACUCCUACGGGAGGCAGCAGUGGGGAAUAUUGGGCAAUGGGCGCAAGCCUGACCCAGCAACGCCGCGUGAAGGAAGAAGGCUUUCGGGUUGUAAACUUCUUUUCUCAGGGACGAAGCAAGUGACGGUACCUGAGGAAUAAGCCACGGCUAACUACGUGCCAGCAGCCGCGGUAAUACGUAGGUGGCAAGCGUUAUCCGGAUUUACUGGGUGUAAAGGGCGUGUAGCCGGGCUGACAAGUCAGAUGUGAAAUUCCGGGGCGCAACCCCGGGCCUGCAUUUGAAACUGGUGGUCUGGAGUAUCGGAGAGGGAGGCGGAAUUCCUAGUGUAGCGGUGAGGUGCGUAGAUAUUAGGAGG
RNAcentral lists this ribosomal RNA (361 nucleotides) under uncultured bacterium. Its description in RNAcentral is "bacterial SSU rRNA". It matches the Rfam family "Bacterial small subunit ribosomal RNA", at positions 329 to 704 of the family's 1533-position model. The record is from RNAcentral.